Molecule: ribosomal RNA, 468 nt
Filed under: uncultured bacterium
Lineage: Bacteria
Description: partial 16S ribosomal RNA
Rfam family: Bacterial small subunit ribosomal RNA
Source: RNAcentral
GACGAACGCUGGCGGCGUGCUUAACACAUGCAAGUCGAACGGAAAGGCCCUGCUUUUGUGGGGUGCUCGAGUGGCGAACGGGUGAGUAACACGUGAGUAACCUGCCCUUGACUUUGGGAUAACUUCAGGAAACUGGGGCUAAUACCGGAUAGGAGCUCCUGCUGCAUGGUGGGGGUUGGAAAGUUUCGGCGGUUGGGGAUGGACUGGCGGCUUAUCAGCUUGUUGGUGGGGUAGUGGCUUACCAAGGCUUUGACGGGUAGCCGGCCUGAGAGGGUGACCGGCGACCUUGGGACUGAGAUACGGACCAGACUCCUACGGGAGGCAGCAGUGGGGAAUAUUGCACAGUGGGCGGAAGCCUGAUGCAGAGACGCCGCGUGCGGGAUGACGGCCUUCGGGUUGUAAACCGCUUUAGCCUGUGACGAAGCGUGAGUGACGGUAAUGGGUAAAGAAGCACCGGCUAACUACGUG